UACGUAGGGCGCAAGCGUUAUCCGGAAUUAUUGGGCGUAAAGAGCUCGUAGGCGGUUUGUCGCGUCUGCCGUGAAAGUCCGGGGCUCAACUCCGGAUCUGCGGUGGGUACGGGCAGACUAGAGUGAUGUAGGGGAGACUGGAAUUCCUGGUGUAGCGGUGAAAUGCGCAGAUAUCAGGAGGAACACCGUAUCGGCGAAGGCGGUUGCUGGGCUGAUACUGACGCUGAGGCGCGAAAGCCAGGGGAGCGAACGGG
Molecule: ribosomal RNA, 254 nt
Filed under: uncultured bacterium
Lineage: Bacteria
Description: partial 16S ribosomal RNA
Rfam family: Bacterial small subunit ribosomal RNA
Source: RNAcentral